CGAAAGCCUGACGGAGCAAGACCGCGUGAGGGAGGAAGGCUCUUGGGUUGUAAACCUCUUUUCUCAGGGAAGAAGGACUGACGGUACCAGAGGAAUAAGCCUCGGCUAACUCCGUGCCGACAGCCGCGGUAAGACGGAGGAGGCAAGCGUUAUCCGGAAUUAUUGGGCGUAAAGCGUCCGCAGGCGGCUAUUUAAGUCUGCUGUCAAAGCACGGGGCUUAACUCCGUUAAGGCAGUGGAAACUGAAUGGCUAGAGUGCCGUAGGGGUAGAGGGAAUUCCCGGUGUAGCGGUGAAAUGCGUAGAGAUCGGGAAGAACAUCGGUGGCGAAAGCGCUCUACUGGACGGCAACUGACACUCAGGGACGAAAGCUAGGGGAGCG
Molecule: ribosomal RNA, 379 nt
Filed under: uncultured cyanobacterium
Lineage: Bacteria; Bacillati; Cyanobacteriota
Description: bacterial SSU rRNA
Rfam family: Bacterial small subunit ribosomal RNA
Source: RNAcentral